RNAcentral lists this long non-coding RNA (684 nucleotides) under Capra hircus (goat). RNAcentral's name for it is "lncRNA (ENSCHIG00000005069.1)". Lineage: Eukaryota; Metazoa; Chordata; Mammalia; Artiodactyla; Bovidae. The record is from RNAcentral.
CAUCUGUUCAAGUCCCUGCUUUCAGUCCUUUUGUGUACACGUCCAAAAGCUGAACUGCUGAAUUACAGGCUAAUUUCAGGUGUAAGCCUUUAAGGAGCAGCCAUAUCGUACUCCCCAGUGGCUGCAACACUGGACUCUCCCACAGGCAAUGAGCAAGUUUCCGGUCUCUCUACAUCCUUGCCCACAGCUCAUCAUUUCCACUCAGAGGCUGUGAAGAGAGAACAGGAUCUUGGCUGAAACUCCCGGUAACAAAGACAGAUGACGAGAGGAAAAGAAGCUCAGUGAGUCCGCUACAGACGAGCCUUCCCCUAUAGACGAGCGAACUGACGGGAACAUGUGUGCUCACGACCAGUCACGUGAGGAUUGUCCAGAAGCAGUUGUAAAAGCAGCAGAGAUGGGGCUGGUACUACGAACAGGCACCAAGAAUCAGAGGCCCAGAGAAAGGACUGAGAGCAACAAGGAGGAGGACGAACUGCAGACCUGGAAGAGGGUCAGGGUGCAGGAAACGGCACGGGCUUUUCCUGUAUUUGAGCGGGCACUGUUAGGGUUUGCCGCUCAGGACCUGAAGGUAGGAGGGUGCACAAAGGCUGCGGCACCCAUCCAGAAUUCAGCCCACGGCUACCGUGUCAUCUAUGGGGAGGAAAACAGACCCACUGCCCAGACCUCACCGAAUUGUUUUCUUCA